This 400-nucleotide ribosomal RNA is filed under the name uncultured bacterium. RNAcentral describes it as "bacterial SSU rRNA". It matches the Rfam family "Bacterial small subunit ribosomal RNA", at positions 355 to 747 of the family's 1533-position model. The record is from RNAcentral.
UGGGGAAUAUUGGACAAUGGGGGCAACCCUGAUCCAGCGAUGCCGCGUGUGUGAAGAAGGCCUGCGGGUUGUAAAGCACUUUCAGUUGGGAAGAAGCAAUUUAUCCUAAUAAGGUAAUGCGUUGACGUUACCAACAGAAGAAGCACCGGCUAACUCUGUGCCAGCAGCCGCGGUAAUACAGAGGGUGCAAGCGUUAAUCGGAAUUACUGGGCGUAAAGCGCACGUAGGUGGGUUGGUAAGUUGCUGGUGAAAAGCCUGGGCUUAACCUGGGUCGGUCCUGCAAAACUACCAGCCUAGAGUGUAUUAGAGGGAAGUGGAAUUUCCGGUGUAGCAGUGAAAUGCGUAGAUAUCGGAAGGAACACCAGUGGCGAAGGCGACUUCCUGGAAUAUAACUGACACU